Danio aesculapii is the source of this 315-nucleotide long non-coding RNA. RefSeq lists it as uncharacterized. Lineage: Eukaryota; Metazoa; Chordata; Actinopteri; Cypriniformes; Danionidae. The record is from RefSeq and is a predicted model, not a curated record. The transcript has 3 exons.
UGGUGCUGGUAGGGAAUCCUGUUUCUAUGUCAUAGCUGGCACACCCGAACACAGCGAGGGGAAGAUUAGACCAGGCUACAGUGAACACAGCAAGUUGAAGACAAGUGAGAUGCUGUGAUCCGUGCCUGCUUUCCUACCAGGGAGAAUCAUCUCAGGAGCUCACUGAAGACUACCAGGAUGUCAAGAGAACUGCUUAAAGAUGGCUUCACCAAUCACAGCAAAGAUCAUUGUGCUCUGCAGUACUACAGAUGAGGAAGAUGCCAACAUAGAUGACCCCAUCAUUCUGUCUGAAAGGACUUUUUAAAGUUGUUUAUU